This 459-nucleotide ribosomal RNA is filed under the name uncultured Escherichia/Shigella sp. Its description in RNAcentral is "partial 16S ribosomal RNA". It matches the Rfam family "Bacterial small subunit ribosomal RNA", at positions 341 to 792 of the family's 1533-position model. Lineage: Bacteria; Pseudomonadati; Pseudomonadota; Gammaproteobacteria; Enterobacterales; Enterobacteriaceae. The record is from RNAcentral.
ACGGAAGGCAGCAGUGGGGAAUAUUGCACAAUGGGCGCAAGCCUGAUGCAGCCAUGCCGCGUGUAUGAAGAAGGCCUUCGGGUUGUAAAGUACUUUCAGCGGGGCGGAAGGGAGUAAAGUUAAUACCUUUGCUCAUUGACGUUACCCGCAGAAGAAGCACCGGCUAACUCCGUGCCAGCAGCCGCAGUAAUACGGAGGGUGCAAGCGUUAAUCGGAAUUACUGGGCGUAAAGCGCACGCAGGCGGUUUGUGAAGUCAGAUGUGAAAUCCCCGGGCUCAACCUGGGAACUGCAGCUGAUACUGGCAAGCCUGAGUAUCGUAGAGGGGGGUAGAAUUCCAGGUGUAGCGGUGAAAUGCGUAGAGAUCUGGAGGAAUACCGGUGGCGAAGGCGGCCACCUGGACGAAGACUGACGCUCAGGUGCGAAAGCGUGGGGAGCAAACAGGAUUAGAUACCCUGGUA